GGAGCGGGCCAGACCGCCGCCUGUGCAAGCGUCGAAAGACGGCAUGGGAGGAAGGUCCGGACUGCACAGGGCAGCGUAGCAGGCAACACCUGUCCGCCGUGAGGCGAGGAUCAGAGCAACAGAGACGAGUCGGCAGUCCGGGCCGGCGAGACGGCGACAGCCGUCUCGUCAAGGUUCCCCUCAAGAAGGGCAGCGGUUCGGUCCACCGCAUCGCAUCGCGAUGCGGCGGCCACCGGAACGAAGCGGGACGGGACGCUCGCGCAAGUGAGCGUCGGGACCGCGAGCGCAGCUCGCGGAGCCGGGUGAAACGGGCAAUCUCUACGCGCAGCAACACCGAAUAGGCCGGCGUUUGAAUGUGGCCCGCAUGAGCCGGCGGGUGGGUGGCAUCGAGCCGUCGGAGCGAUCCACGGCCCAGAGGAAUGGCGGUCACGGUGCGGGGCGACCCGCGCCGCACAGAAUCCGGCCUACCGGCCCGCUCCACAC
Molecule: RNase P RNA, 483 nt
Filed under: Aquabacterium sp. J223
Lineage: Bacteria; Pseudomonadati; Pseudomonadota; Betaproteobacteria; Burkholderiales; Sphaerotilaceae
Description: RNase P RNA component class A
Rfam family: Bacterial RNase P class A
About the family: Ribonuclease P (RNase P) is a ubiquitous endoribonuclease, found in archaea, bacteria and eukarya as well as chloroplasts and mitochondria. Its best characterised activity is the generation of mature 5'-ends of tRNAs by cleaving the 5'-leader elements of precursor-tRNAs.
Source: RNAcentral